GCUAUGGAGUGUUAUACAAACUAAAGUAGAUUAGGCAAAAUAGGACACAACGAAGUAGUGA
This 61-nucleotide non-coding RNA is filed under the name Clostridium sp. CAG:265. RNAcentral describes it as "RAGATH-18 RNA". It matches the Rfam family "RAGATH-18 RNA". Rfam says of the family: Actinobacteria, Firmicutes, Fusobacteria, Thermotogae (1 example). The record is from Rfam by way of RNAcentral. Lineage: Bacteria; Bacillati; Bacillota; Clostridia; Eubacteriales; Clostridiaceae.